Long non-coding RNA from Etheostoma cragini (Arkansas darter), 248 nucleotides. RefSeq lists it as uncharacterized. Lineage: Eukaryota; Metazoa; Chordata; Actinopteri; Perciformes; Percidae. The transcript is spliced from 2 exons. The record is from RefSeq and is a predicted model, not a curated record.
AAUGUAAUAGAUUAUUAAAAAAAUGACAUAAAUCACUAAAAAAAUGCCGAACUGUUGCGCACGUGUCUGCAAUGAAAGACAGGCAAGUGGCACAAGAUUUCACAUGUAACCCCAUGAACCAAUCAGGCAAAAAGUAUGGGAGCUGAACAUUAUUGUGUGAGGUAAAUGUCAUUUUCUCUCUUCGCCUUAUGAUAACAAAUCACAUAGGACAAAUAAAGUAAUACCAUCGUUAAUGUAAACCAUGCUGU